This 497-nucleotide ribosomal RNA is filed under the name uncultured bacterium. Its description in RNAcentral is "partial 16S ribosomal RNA". It matches the Rfam family "Bacterial small subunit ribosomal RNA", at positions 28 to 507 of the family's 1533-position model. The record is from RNAcentral.
GAUGAACGCUGGCGGCGUGCCUAAUACAUGCAAGUCGAGCGAACAGAUGAGGAGCUUGCUCCUCUGACGUUAGCGGCGGACGGGUGAGUAACACGUGGAUAACCUACCUAUAAGACUGGGAUAACUUCGGGAAACCGGAGCUAAUACCGGAUAAUAUAUUGAACCGCAUGGUUGAAUAGUGAAAGACGGUUUUGCUGUCACUUAUAGAUGGAUCCGCGCCGCAUUAGCUAGUUGGUAAGGUAACGGCUUACCAAGGCAACGAUGCGUAGCCGACCUGAGAGGGUGAUCGGCCACACUGGAACCGAGACACGGUCCACACUCCUACGGGAGGCAGCAGUCGGGAAUCUUCCGCAAAGGUCGAAAGCCUGACGGAGCGCCGCCGCGUGAGUGAUGAAGGUCUUCGGAUCGUAAAUCUCUGUUAUUAGGGAAGAACAAAUGUGUAAGUAACUAUGCACGUCUUGACGGUACCUAAUCAGAAAGCCCCGGCUAACUACGUG